This 497-nucleotide ribosomal RNA is filed under the name uncultured bacterium. RNAcentral describes it as "partial 16S ribosomal RNA". It matches the Rfam family "Bacterial small subunit ribosomal RNA", at positions 28 to 507 of the family's 1533-position model. The record is from RNAcentral.
GAUGAACGCUGGCGGCGUGCCUAAUACAUGCAAGUCGAGCGAACAGACGAGGAGCUUGCUCCUCUGACGUUAGCGGCGGACGUGUGAGUAACACGUGGAUAACCUACCUUUAAGACUGGGAUAACUUCGGGAAACCGUAUCUAAUACCGUAGAAUAUAUGUAACCGCAUGGUGCAAUAGUGAAAGACGGGUUUGCUGUCACUUAGAGAUGGAUCCGCGCCGCAUUAGCUAGUUGGUAAGGUAACGGCUUACCAAGGCAACGAUUGGUAGCCGACCUGAGAGGCUGAUAGGCCACCCGGGAACUGAGACACGGUCAAGACUCCUGCGGGAGGCCGCAGUAGGCAAUCUUCCGCAAUAGGCGAAAGCAUGACGGAACGACGGCGCGUGAGAGAUGACGGUCCUCCGAUCGUAAAGCUCUGUUACUAGUGAAAAACACAUGUCUACGUCACUAUACACGUCUUGACGGUACCUGAUCAAAAAGCCACGGCUAACUACGUG